UACGGAGGGUGCAAGCGUUAUCCGGAAUUAUUGGGCGUAAAGAGUGCUCAGGCGGUUUUGUAAGUCAGAAGUGAAAGCCUUCGGCUCAACCGAAGAACUGCAUCAGAAACUGUCAAUCUUGAGUGCAGAAGAGGAGGGUGGAACUCCAUGUGUAGCGGUGGAAUGCGUAGAUAUAUGGAAGAACACCAGUGGCGAAGGCGGCUCUCUGGUCUGUAACUGACGCUGAGGCUCGAAAGCAUGGGUAGCGAACAGGAUUAGAUACCC
RNAcentral lists this ribosomal RNA (264 nucleotides) under uncultured bacterium. RNAcentral describes it as "partial 16S ribosomal RNA". It matches the Rfam family "Bacterial small subunit ribosomal RNA", at positions 524 to 787 of the family's 1533-position model. The record is from RNAcentral.